AUUGAACGCUGGCGGCAUGCUUUACACAUGCAAGUCGAACGGUAACAGGUUAAGCUGACGAGUGGCGAACGGGUGAGUAAUGCAUCGGAACGUGCCCGGUCGUGGGGGAUAACGCAGCGAAAGCUGCGCUAAUACCGCAUACGAUCUAAGGAUGAAAGCGGGGGACCGUAAGGCCUCGCGCGAUCGGAGCGGCCGAUGUCAGAUUAGGUAGUUGGUGGGGUAAAGGCUCACCAAGCCAACGAUCUGUAGCUGGUCUGAGCGGACGACCAGCCACGCUGGGACUGAGACACGGCCCAGACUCCUACGGGAGGCAGCAGUGGGGAAUUUUGGACAAUGGGCGAAAGCCUGAUCCAGCAAUGCCGCGUGCAGGAAGAAGGCCUUCGGGUUGUAAACUGCUUUUGUACGGAGCGAAAAGGUCUCCUCUAAUACAGGGGGCUCAUGACGGUACCGUAAGAAUAAGCACCGGCUAACUACGUGCCAGCCGCCGCCGUAA
Molecule: ribosomal RNA, 493 nt
Filed under: uncultured bacterium
Lineage: Bacteria
Description: partial 16S ribosomal RNA
Rfam family: Bacterial small subunit ribosomal RNA
Source: RNAcentral